RNAcentral lists this non-coding RNA (194 nucleotides) under unclassified sequences. RNAcentral describes it as "RT-16 RNA". It matches the Rfam family "RT-16 RNA". From Rfam's summary of the family: candidate division DUSEL4 (Archaea). Nearby to self-splicing intron genes The record is from Rfam by way of RNAcentral.
UCUUAGUUUGGCGUUUAUGCCUUGCUAGGGCCACACGCAUCUUGCUUAUGCCUGAAACCAAGAAAAUCCUGAAGGAUUUUGGAGAAAGGUAUCAAAUGCAAAAGCAACAUUAAGUACUAAUGAGGGAACCGAAAGUGAGCUGAAGGAAAUAUGAAGCUUUGGUGAUUUUACUUUAGAGUAGGAUGCUACAUAGU